UACAGAGGGGGCGAGCGUUGUUCGGAAUUACUGGGCGUAAAGGGCGCGUAGGCGGCCUUCUAAGUCGAACGUGAAAUCUCCGGGCUCAACCCGGAAACUGCCAUUGAUACUAUUAGUCUUGAAUUUUGUUGAGGUAGGCGGAAUAAGUCAUGUAGCGGUGAAAUGCAUAGAUAUGACUUAGAACACCAAUGGCGAAGGCAGCUUACUAAGCAAAUACUGACGCUGAGGCACGAAAGCGUGGGGAUCAAACAGG
RNAcentral lists this ribosomal RNA (253 nucleotides) under uncultured bacterium. RNAcentral describes it as "partial 16S ribosomal RNA". It matches the Rfam family "Bacterial small subunit ribosomal RNA", at positions 524 to 776 of the family's 1533-position model. The record is from RNAcentral.